AUUGAACGCUGGCGGCAUGCCUAACACAUGCAAGUCGAACGAGUGGCGGACGGGUGAGUAAUGUCUGGGAAACUGCCCGAUGGAGGGGGAUAACUACUGGAAACGGUAGCUAAUACCGCAUACCAUCGGAUGUGCCCAGAUGGGAUUAGCUAGUGGGUGGGGUAACGGCUCACCAAGGCCACGAUCCAUAGCUGGUCUGAGAGGAUGACCAGCCACACUGGAACUGAGACACGGCCCAGACGCCUACGGGAGGCAGCAGUGGGGAAUAUUGGACAAUGGGGGAAAGCCGGAUGCAGCCAUGCCGCGUGUAUGAAGAAGGCCUUCGGGUUGUAAAGUACUUUCGGCAGGGAGGCGGUACUUGCAGAAGAAGCACCGGCUAACUCCGUGCCAGCAGCCGCGGUAAUUC
This 406-nucleotide ribosomal RNA is filed under the name uncultured bacterium. RNAcentral describes it as "partial 16S ribosomal RNA". It matches the Rfam family "Bacterial small subunit ribosomal RNA", at positions 30 to 526 of the family's 1533-position model. The record is from RNAcentral.